This 681-nucleotide ribosomal RNA is filed under the name uncultured fungus. RNAcentral's name for it is "eukaryotic LSU rRNA". The stretch from base 226 to 379 matches the Rfam family "5.8S ribosomal RNA". The record is from RNAcentral. Lineage: Eukaryota; Fungi.
CUUGGUCAUUUAGAGGAAGUAAAAGUCGUAACAAGGUUUCCGUAGGUGAACCUGCGGAAGGAUCAUUCACAAUGAGUGUUUUAUGGCACUCUUUAAAAAUCCAUAUCCACCUUGUGUGCAAUGUUUGUUGGGAGAGAGGCAACUCUUUCCCUUCACAAAUAUCAACCUAUAUCUUUAACAACAUUCGUCUGAUAACAUAUUAUGAAUAUACUUAAUUCAAAAUAUAACUUUCAACAACGGAUCUCUUGGCUCUCGCAUCGAUGAAGAACGCAGCGAAAUGCGAUACGUAAUGUGAAUUGCAGAAUUCAGUGAAUCAUCGAAUCUUUGAACGCAUAUUGCGCUCUUUGGUAUUCCGAAGAGCAUGCUUGUUUGAGUAUCAGUAAACACCUCAACCUCCUCUUGUUUUUUCAAAAGGAGGGUGGACUUGAGCUAUCCCAACAACCUUCACCGGUAGGCGGGCGGCUUGAAAUGCAGGUGCAGCUGGACUUUUAUCUGGGCUAAAAGCAUAUCUAUUUAGUCCUCGUCAAACAGGAUUAUUACUAUUGCUGCAGCUAACAUAAAGGAUAAUUGUCCUCAUUGCUGACUGAUGCAGGAUUUUACGACACUUUAUGUGUUGUUCAACUCGAUCUCAAAUCAAGUAAGACUACCCGCUGAACAUAAGCAUAUCAAUAAGCGGAGGAA